CGCCGCUAUAUUGCGUCUUCUCCAUGAGAAUCCUGAUGAGUCAAUAAACGAAGCAAUGGAAGCUGGAUGGAUGGUUUACCCCAGUCGCUAUGGUAGUCCACGCGUUACAUUUUAUGUUGCCCAUAGGGUUUUCCGUAAGGGCGAGGAAAAAGACUGCGUCGACCUAUCUUGUAAAGAUUUUAUUCAAGAAGGAAAAGAAUACUAUACAGGAAUGCCAAUUCCUGGUAUUUCUGCAUAUGAUGGUGCACAA
Cryptomeria japonica (Japanese cedar) is the source of this 250-nucleotide long non-coding RNA. RefSeq lists it as uncharacterized. Lineage: Eukaryota; Viridiplantae; Streptophyta; Pinopsida; Cupressales; Cupressaceae. The transcript has 3 exons. The record is from RefSeq and is a predicted model, not a curated record.